GGGACACGUGGUAUCCUGUCUGAAUAUGGGGGGACCAUCCUCCAAGGCUAAAUACUCCUGACUGACCGAUAGUGAACCAGUACCGUGAGGGAAAGGCGAAAAGAACCCCGGCGAGGGGAGUGAAAAAGAACCUGAAACCGUGUACGUACAAGCAGUGGGAGCACGCUUAGGCGUGUGACUGCGUACCUUUUGUAUAAUGGGUCAGCGACUUAUAUUCUGUAGCAAGGUUAACCGAAUAGGGGAGCCGAAGGGAAACCGAGUCUUAACUGGGCGUUAAGUUGCAGGGUAUAGACCCGAAACCCGGUGAUCUAGCCAUGGGCAGGUUGAAGGUUGGGUAACACUAACUGGAGGACCGAACCGACUAAUGUUGAAAAAUUAGCGGAUGACUUGUGGCUGGGGGUGAAAGGCCAAUCAAACCGGGAGAUAGCUGGUUCUCCCCGAAAGCUAUUUAGGUAGCGCCUCGUGAAUUCAUCUCCGGGGGUAGAGCACUGUUUCGGCAAGGGGGUCAUCCCGACUUACCAACCCGAUGCAAACUGCGAAUACCGGAGAAUGUUAUCACGGGAGACACACGGCGGGUGCUAACGUCCGUCGUGAAGAGGGAAACAACCCAGACCGCCAGCUAAGGUCCCAAAGUCAUGGUUAAGUGGGAAACGAUGUGGGAAGGCCCAGACAGCCAGGAUGUUGGCUUAGAAGCAGCCAUCAUUUAAAGAAAGCGUAAUAGCUCACUGGUCGAGUCGGCCUGCGCGGAAGAUGUAACGGGGCUAAACCAUGCACCGAAGCUGCGGCAGCGACGCUUAUGCGUUGUUGGGUAGGGGAGCGUUCUGUAAGCCUGCGAAGGUGUGCUGUGAGGCAUGCUGGAGGUAUCAGAAGUGCGAAUGCUGACAUAAGUAACGAUAAAGCGGGUGAAAAGCCCGCUCGCCGGAAGACCAAGGGUUCCUGUCCAACGUUAAUCGGGGCAGGGUGAGUCGACCCCUAAGGCGAGGCCGAAAGGCGUAGUCGAUGGGAAACAGGUUAAUAUUCCUGUACUUGGUGUUACUGCGAAGGGGGGACGGAGAAGGCUAUGUUGGCCGGGCGACGGUUGUCCCGGUUUAAGCGUGUAGGCUGGUUUUCCAGGCAAAUCCGGAAAAUCAAGGCUGAGGCGUGAUGACGAGGCACUACGGUGCUGAAGCAACAAAUGCCCUGCUUCCAGGAAAAGCCUCUAAGCAUCAGGUAACAUCAAAUCGUACCCCAAACCGACACAGGUGGUCAGGUAGAGAAUACCAAGGCGCUUGAGAGAACUCGGGUGAAGGAACUAGGCAAAAUGGUGCCGUAACUUCGGGAGAAGGCACGCUGAUAUGUAGGUGAAGUCCCUCGCGGAUGGAGCUGAAAUCAGUCGAAGAUACCAGCUGGCUGCAACUGUUUAUUAAAAACACAGCACUGUGCAAACACGAAAGUGGACGUAUACGGUGUGACGCCUGCCCGGUGCCGGAAGGUUAAUUGAUGGGGUUAGCGCAAGCGAAGCUCUUGAUCGAAGCCCCGGUAAACGGCGGCCGUAACUAUAACGGUCCUAAGGUAGCGAAAUUCCUUGUCGGGUAAGUUCCGACCUGCACGAAUGGCGUAAUGAUGGCCAGGCUGUCUCCACCCGAGACUCAGUGAAAUUGAACUCGCUGUGAAGAUGCAGUGUACCCGCGGCAAGACGGAAAGACCCCGUGAACCUUUACUAUAGCUUGACACUGAACAUUGAGCCUUGAUGUGUAGGAUAGGUGGGAGGCUUUGAAGUGUGGACGCCAGUCUGCAUGGAGCCGACCUUGAAAUACCACCCUUUAAUGUUUGAUGUUCUAACGUUGACCCGU
Molecule: ribosomal RNA, 1832 nt
Filed under: Escherichia coli
Lineage: Bacteria; Pseudomonadati; Pseudomonadota; Gammaproteobacteria; Enterobacterales; Enterobacteriaceae
Description: partial 23S ribosomal RNA
Rfam family: Bacterial large subunit ribosomal RNA
Source: RNAcentral